GACGAACGCUGGCGGCGUGCCUAAUACAUGCAAGUCGAGCGGACCAAACAGGAGCUUGCUCUUGUUUGGUUAGCGGCGGACGGGUGAGUAACACGUGGGUAACCUGCCCGUAAGACCGGGAUAACUCCGGGAAACCGGAGCUAAUACCGGAUAACACCGAAGACCGCAUGGUCUUUGGUUGAAAGGCGGCUUCGGCUGCCACUUACGGAUGGGCCCGCGGCGCAUUAGCUAGUUGGUGAGGUAACGGCUCACCAAGGCGACGAUGCGUAGCCGGCCUGAGAGGGUGACCGGCCACACUGGGACUGAGACACGGCCCAGACUCCUACGGGAGGCAGCAGUAGGGAAUCUUCCGCAAUGGACGAAAGUCUGACGGAGCGACGCCGCGUGAGCGAAGAAGGGCUUCGGAUCGUAAAGCUCUGUUGUUAGGGAAGAAGAAGCGCCGUUUGAACAGGGCGGCGCGGUGACGGUACCUAACGAGAAAGCCCCGGCUAACUACGUG
RNAcentral lists this ribosomal RNA (499 nucleotides) under uncultured bacterium. RNAcentral describes it as "partial 16S ribosomal RNA". It matches the Rfam family "Bacterial small subunit ribosomal RNA", at positions 28 to 507 of the family's 1533-position model. The record is from RNAcentral.